This is a long non-coding RNA of Cydia splendana, 151 nucleotides long. RefSeq lists it as uncharacterized. The transcript is spliced from 2 exons. The record is from RefSeq and is a predicted model, not a curated record. Lineage: Eukaryota; Metazoa; Arthropoda; Insecta; Lepidoptera; Tortricidae.
UUGCUGUGAAGGAUCUUACAUGUACGAAAUCUACAUAUUUGGGUUCGACUUUGACGUCUCGAAAAAUGUGUCUAGGUUUUUUAGCCUAAAAUUGUUCAACUUUGAUGCAAAAUAUCUCGAAGACAAUGAACUUUGAAGUAAAUAUGGGAUA